Pygoscelis adeliae (Adelie penguin) is the source of this 433-nucleotide long non-coding RNA. RefSeq lists it as uncharacterized. NCBI's taxonomy places the organism in Eukaryota, Metazoa, Chordata, Aves, Sphenisciformes, Spheniscidae. The transcript has 4 exons. The record is from RefSeq and is a predicted model, not a curated record.
UGCUGAGGAAGAAAACGGCUCCCUGCUCCUUUUUUUUUUCUUUUUUUUUUUUCCCCCCUCCUCUCCUUUCUUCUUGCCUGAAUUAGAAGCUCCAGGAAUGCGCUAAUUGGCGGCGGCCUCUUCAGAAAGGAAAAUGGGUCUUGUUAUGUGAAGGCGUUGAGGAAACAGUCCCCAGCUACUGAGAGGAAGAAAGGCCGGUGGGACAUACUCAGAUCGAGGGAUUUUAAUGGCUUUCAGGUAGAAGCCAAGUGGAGACAAUCAAAAUGAACUCUAUGGACAGGCACAUACAGCAGACCAAUGACCGGCUGCAGUGCAUAAAACAGCACUUACAGAACCCUGCAAACUUCCAUAAUGCAGCAACAGAGCUCCUGGACUGGUGCGGAGACCCCAGAGCCUUCCAGAGGCCAUUCGAGCAGAGCCUGAUGGGUUGUUU